CUGGAGGGCCCAUAUACUUGGUCGAUUACCAUUAAAACCCUUAUUGCAUAAAAUUUGCUGUAUAUCAGAUGACUCCAAUGGAACACGAAGAAACAAGCAGCCUUUUUGAAUCUUAGCUCCAACAUCUAAUGGUUUCUCAAGAAAAUUUUGUCAGGCAUGCUGCAAUCCUUAUUGAAAUCACAGGAAACUGGUAUGAGAGAAACUUGGAAAGGUGAAAAUUCAAAAGAUCCAUCAUGAUAGGCACCUUCAAGCUUUUUAGCUGCCUUUCUGAAUACUCUUUCCGGAGAUACAUCAAAGAUUAAGGUUGAAUUUGGCCAGCCAAGCCUAUAAGGCCGAGUAUCCAUCCCAUCUGUUAGCAAAACAACCUGCAGGAUAUGACUAGAAUUCUAUAUAUUCACAAAUCAGCAUAACCAAUCAAUGGAGCAUGUAAAAGCAUCACACCAUACCUGCCUGAGUCUGUCCCGAUCGUUCAUUGUCAUAAGCAAUUUAUCAUCAACAAACUUUGUUGCAAGGCAAUAAUGGCGGAGGUAACGCCCCAUAUCCAUUGGGAUAUUGUCAGGAACAAAACAACCAGCAUAUUGGUCAAGAAAAAGAGGAUCUGCAAGUGCAAGCGUACAUCCUCAUUCAUCGAGCAAUUCUCCUUAUAACAAGUAUGAAAGAUCAAGAACAUAUGAA
Molecule: long non-coding RNA, 675 nt
Organism: Rhododendron vialii
Lineage: Eukaryota; Viridiplantae; Streptophyta; Magnoliopsida; Ericales; Ericaceae
Exons: 2
Source: RefSeq, a predicted model, not a curated record